AUGUGUGUAAAAUGUUUGCAGUCUAGGCCUUGUAUCACUGUAACAUUGCCGAUUAGAAUGGCAGCUGUGAAUCGCUGUAACAUUCCGUGUUUUUAUUUACCUUUUUUAUGGCCAGAAUUGAUGUCCUCAUAUGCAUCAGCAUUGCUAUUUUUUAUUUUUUACCUGGAUGUUGGUGCUGUUCUUCGUAAGAAUUUAGAUCGCUUCAUUUGCCCAGCAGUGGUACCUCCUAACCCGGGGCCAAACCGGCAACUUCGGAAACUUCUGUACUCUCUGAACCACCGGAAGUCAAGGUUAUGGCACGAUCGUUAA
This 309-nucleotide ribosomal RNA is filed under the name Triticum aestivum (bread wheat). RNAcentral's name for it is "partial small subunit ribosomal RNA". The record is from RNAcentral. Lineage: Eukaryota; Viridiplantae; Streptophyta; Magnoliopsida; Poales; Poaceae.